GUCGCGAUAAGAAUGAAAAGGCAAGUUCGUCGGGUGACUUCCCCGGAGGUACUGGUUCAAAUCCAGUUCGUGACA
Molecule: non-coding RNA, 75 nt
Organism: Macleaya cordata
Lineage: Eukaryota; Viridiplantae; Streptophyta; Magnoliopsida; Ranunculales; Papaveraceae
Source: Rfam